AUUGAACGCUGGCGGAAUGCUUUACACAUGCAAGUCGAACGGCAGCACGGACUUCGGUCUGGUGGCGAGUGGCGAACGGGUGAGUAAUGUAUCGGAACGUGCCCAGUCGUGGGGGAUAACGUAGUGAAAAUUACGCUAUACCCCAAACGAUCUAUGGAUGGAAGCGGGGGGUCGCAAGACCCCUCGCCAUUGGAGCGGCCGAUAUCAGAUUAGGUAGUUGGUGGGGUAAAGGCCCAACAAGCCCACGAUCUGUAGCUGGUCUGAGAGGACGACCAGCCACACUGGAACUGAGACACGGUCCAGACUCCUACGGGAGGCAGCAGUGGGGAAUUUUGGACAAUGGGCGAAAGCCUGAUCCAGCCAUUCCGCGUGCAGGAUGAAGGCCCUCGGGUUGUAAACUGCUUUUGUACAGAACGAAAAGGUUUCUACUAAUACUAGGAGCUCAUGACGGUACUGUAAGAAUAAGCACCGGCUAACUACGUGCCAGCCGCCGCCGUAA
RNAcentral lists this ribosomal RNA (499 nucleotides) under uncultured bacterium. RNAcentral describes it as "partial 16S ribosomal RNA". It matches the Rfam family "Bacterial small subunit ribosomal RNA", at positions 30 to 523 of the family's 1533-position model. The record is from RNAcentral.